This 73-nucleotide transfer RNA is filed under the name Elusimicrobia bacterium RIFCSPLOWO2_01_FULL_59_12. RNAcentral's name for it is "tRNA-Thr". It matches the Rfam family "tRNA". Rfam says of the family: Transfer RNA (tRNA) molecules are approximately 80 nucleotides in length. Their secondary structure includes four short double-helical elements and three loops (D, anti-codon, and T loops). Further hydrogen bonds mediate the characteristic L-shaped molecular structure. tRNAs have two regions of fundamental functional importance: the anti-codon, which is responsible for specific mRNA codon recognition, and the 3' end, to which the tRNAs corresponding amino acid is attached (by aminoacyl-tRNA synthetases). tRNAs cope with the degeneracy of the genetic code in two manners: having more than one tRNA (with a specific anti-codon) for a particular amino acid; and 'wobble' base-pairing, i.e. permitting non-standard base-pairing at the 3rd anti-codon position. RNAcentral also lists the same sequence under 1 other name. The record is from RNAcentral. Lineage: Bacteria; Pseudomonadati; Elusimicrobiota.
GCCGGCGUAGCUCAACUGGUAGAGCAAUCCCUUUGUAAGGGAAAGGUUGUAGGUUCGAUUCCUAUCGCCGGCU